UACGUAGGGUGCAAGCGUUAAUCGGAAUUACUGGGCGUAAAGCGUGCGCAGGCGGUUUUGUAAGACAGGCGUGAAAUCCCCGGGCUUAACCUGGGAAUGGCGCUUGUGACUGCAAAGCUGGAGUGCGGCAGAGGGGGAUGGAAUUCCGCGUGUAGCAGUGAAAUGCGUAGAUAUGCGGAGGAACACCGAUGGCGAAGGCAAUCCCCUGGGCCUGCACUGACGCUCAUGCACGAAAGCGUAGGGAGCAAACAGG
This 253-nucleotide ribosomal RNA is filed under the name uncultured bacterium. RNAcentral describes it as "partial 16S ribosomal RNA". It matches the Rfam family "Bacterial small subunit ribosomal RNA", at positions 524 to 776 of the family's 1533-position model. The record is from RNAcentral.